RNAcentral lists this ribosomal RNA (119 nucleotides) under Pteropus alecto (black flying fox). Lineage: Eukaryota; Metazoa; Chordata; Mammalia; Chiroptera; Pteropodidae. The record is from RNAcentral.
GUCUACAGUCAUGCCAGCCUGAACGUGCCCGAUCUCGUCUGAUCUCAGAAGCUAAGCAAGGUUGGGCUCAGUUAGUACUUGGAUGGGAGACCACCGAGAAAUACCACGUGCUGUAGGUG